CGGGCUGUGGCGCAGCUUGGUUAGCGCGUCGGUCUGGGGGACCGAAGGUCCCGAGUUCAAAUCUCGGCAGCCCGACCA
RNAcentral lists this transfer RNA (78 nucleotides) under Rhodospirillaceae bacterium. RNAcentral describes it as "tRNA-Pro". It matches the Rfam family "tRNA". Rfam says of the family: Transfer RNA (tRNA) molecules are approximately 80 nucleotides in length. Their secondary structure includes four short double-helical elements and three loops (D, anti-codon, and T loops). Lineage: Bacteria; Pseudomonadati; Pseudomonadota; Alphaproteobacteria; Rhodospirillales; Rhodospirillaceae. RNAcentral also lists the same sequence under 2 other names. The record is from RNAcentral.